UACGUAGGGUGCGAGCGUUGUCCGGAAUUAUUGGGCGUAAAGGGCUCGUAGGCGGUCUGUUGCGUCAGGAGUGAAAACUCGGGGCUUAACCCCGAGCCUGCAGUCGAUACGGGCAGACUAGAGUGCUGUAGGGGAGACUGGAAUUCCUGGUGUAGCGGUGAAAUGCGCAGAUAUCAGGAGGAACACCGGUGGCGAAGGCGGGUCUCUGGGCAGUAACUGACGCUGAGGAGCGAAAGCGUGGGGAGCGAACAGG
Molecule: ribosomal RNA, 253 nt
Filed under: uncultured bacterium
Lineage: Bacteria
Description: partial 16S ribosomal RNA
Rfam family: Bacterial small subunit ribosomal RNA
Source: RNAcentral